AAUUAUCGAGCACGGAUCCGUGUUCAAGGAAUUGGUUGAAAUUACCAAACUGUCUCGCAACCGUCAUAGUCGGAAAACUAGCGGAUUCGAAGUAUCCCGA
Molecule: non-coding RNA, 100 nt
Filed under: Candidatus Woeseibacteriota
Lineage: Bacteria
Source: RNAcentral